This 440-nucleotide ribosomal RNA is filed under the name uncultured bacterium. Its description in RNAcentral is "partial 16S ribosomal RNA". It matches the Rfam family "Bacterial small subunit ribosomal RNA", at positions 338 to 795 of the family's 1533-position model. The record is from RNAcentral.
CCUACGGGAGGCAGCAGUGGGGAAUAUUGCACAAUGGGGGAAACCCUGAUGCAGCGACGCCGCGUGAGUGAAGAAGUAUCUCGGUACGUAAAGCUCUAUCAGCAGGGAAGAAAAUGACGGUACCUGACUCAGAAGCCCCGGCUAACUACGUGCCAGCAGCCGCGGUAAUACGGAGGGGGCAAGCGUUAUCCGGAUUUACUGGGUGUAAAGGGAGCGUAGACGGCAGCACAAGGCUGGAGAGAAAUCCCGGGGCUUAACCCCGGAAAUGCUUUGGAAACUGUGCGGCUGGAGUGCAGGAGGGGUAGGCGGAAUUCCUGGUGUAGCGGUGAAAUGCGUAGAUAUUAGGAGGAACACCGGUGGCGAAGGCGGCUUACUGGACUGUAACUGACGUUGAGGCUCGAAAGCGUGGGGAGCAAACAGGAUUAGAUACCCGAGUAGUC